AACGAACGCUGGCGGCGUGCUUAACACAUGCAAGUCGAGCAAGAAAGGGGAGCAAUCCCUGAGUACAGCGGCAAACGGGUGAGUAACACGUGGGCAACCUACCUCGAGUGGGAAUAACAUCUCGAAAGAGGUGCUAAUACCGCAUGACAUCGCGGAGGCUUCGGCCACUGCGAUCAAAGGUCGGAUCUUCGGACCGACCGCUUGAGGAUGGACCCGCGGCUGANAGCUAGUUGGUGGGUAACGGCCUACCAAGGCGACGAUCAGUAGCCGGCCUGAGAGGGUGAACGGCCACACUGGAACUGAGACACGGUCCAGACUCCUACGGAGGCAGCAGUGAGGAAUUUUGGACAAUGGGCGCAAGCCUGAUCCAGCAACGCCGCGUGGACGA
RNAcentral lists this ribosomal RNA (388 nucleotides) under uncultured bacterium. RNAcentral describes it as "bacterial SSU rRNA". It matches the Rfam family "Bacterial small subunit ribosomal RNA", at positions 29 to 408 of the family's 1533-position model. The record is from RNAcentral.